CGCAAUUGGUUUGACCGCCGCGGAGGCGUGGCGUAACCCCAAAACCAAUCUCCGUCGAUUCCGCCCUAUUACAAGACGUCGACAGCAAGCAACAUCGAUCUCGAUCCGCUCCCCUCGUCCGAUGACCUCAUCGAGUCGCCGUCCUCCUCGCGACACCAGCCAUCGGUUAGCUGUGGUAACUGGGAAAUUUCCUUCGGUUAUGCGAGAAUUCUGAUCACAGAUUUCCACCUCAAGGUCACCAUGUAAAAAAUGCAUGGAAGAAAAGGAUGAAACUAAUUCGGGUGGUGGAGGCCAAAUGCAGUUUUUGAACAGAUCGCAGGUUAAGCAUCCAGACGAUAACUCCAAGUCUGAAGGAAUAGAAGUGGAUCAGAUCGAAAUUAGCAAAGCUCAAGUUGCUGUUUACUUUAAUGCUUGUGAAGGUUCAAAGAACAUGCAUACGUAGCAGAAUCAUCAGUGUGGAUUGCAUUGACCAGCACAAGUCUGCAGAUCUUGAUAUAUCUAUAUCCUUGGCGAAAUCAGCAGAUGUAUAAGAGAAUACUUUGAAGGGAGAUUUCUUGAAGCAAGGUUAGAGGUAGACAAGAUGAUCUGAGAGCCUCAAGAGGUUCAAUUGUUGGUGGAAUAAGGCAAUGAAAAGAAGCAAGUGAUAUGCACCAGAUAUCAACUUGACACAUUCUUUGGUUCUUUUGGAAGGUACUCUGAAGUCUGAAGAGCAAAGGAUGAUGAUUUGGCUUGUCUCUCACUCUGGUGGGAAGGCAGCAUCCCUUGGACAUUAUUUAUGGCAGAGGAUAGCCUCUUCUUUAUCGAUGACAUCCUUCGCCUGAGAGCUGAAUUGACCAUCAAGCAGGCUUCCACAAUGUCAUUGCAGUCUUAAGUAUUGCUUAGCCUUCCGUUCGAUAACUGGCAUUCUAUGACCCCUGGAUAUCGAUGUGGAGAUAAUACAUCUUUGUAAUUGCACUCAUACCUGUUGAUAUCGAUACCAAACAAAAUAUGAAACAUGACAAACCAUCAGAUUUUGCUAUGUACAUGCAGAAGUCUUUCAGUUUUGUA
Long non-coding RNA from Musa acuminata AAA Group (dessert banana), 1047 nucleotides. RefSeq lists it as uncharacterized. The transcript has 5 exons. NCBI's taxonomy places the organism in Eukaryota, Viridiplantae, Streptophyta, Magnoliopsida, Zingiberales, Musaceae. The record is from RefSeq and is a predicted model, not a curated record.